RNAcentral lists this small RNA (734 nucleotides) under Drosophila virilis. Its description in RNAcentral is "GJ26021". The record is from RNAcentral. Lineage: Eukaryota; Metazoa; Arthropoda; Insecta; Diptera; Drosophilidae.
AUCGCAAUGCCCGAAUUUAAGCUCUAUCUAUUGACUCACGUCUGGCCCGGAUUGCUGCGCGCGCUGAUUAAGCUUUAUGCGGCCUGUAAAAAUAAGAGAGAUAAAAACUGAAGCAGCCGAAGCAGCUCCACUCACCUAGCACGAUUACAACGACGCUCGCCCGCGACCAUCCAUUAAAUACCCAAAUGGCCAAUACGAUUACACUUUACUCUAACCAGCCGCCAGCUACGAUUCGAGCCGCGCGAUCAACGUCACGGCCUCAAUUAGUCAAUAGACUAAAGCCCCCUUCCCUUAUCCCGCUUAUAGCUUCGUUCCCGCUCCCGCCUAAACAGCUGCUCCGCACGCUCCCUUCGGCCGGGGACACGAUUAAGACGCCGAGUGCCUGCCGAGCGGCGGGGCCGUGUGCUUUUGGUUCGUCUGCGUCUGCCAUGUUGGCUGACAUUUUUUUCAAACACGCUCUCAAUAUACACUUGCCCGACAGACACUCAAAUUGUGAGUUCUCUCGCCUGCUCUACGUCUAGGCUCAAUUUCCACCGAGGAAGCUUGGAUUCGGCGAAAUGUGUGAAACACGCCUCAAAUGAUUUUUCGUGUAGAUUUUUGGAAAUAAAUUCGAACACGAAAUGUCACCCAACAAAUCUUUAACCGGCCAUUUCCAACAAGGAGGAGCGCAUAUUCCAGCAGACAAAUUUGGACAAAAUUCUUUGAAAAUGUUCUUGAGGCCGAUCGGAUGGUAA